GAUGAACGCUGGCGGCGUGCUUAACACAUGCAAGUCGAACGGGAAACAUUUCAUUGAGGCUUCGGCGGAUUUGGUCUGUUUCUAGUGGCGGACGGGUGAGUAACGCGUGGGUAACCUGCCUUGUACUGGGGGAUAACAGCCAGAAAUGGCUGCUAAUACCGCAUAAGCGCACGGGACCGCAUGGUCCUGUGUGAAAAACUCCGGUGGUAUAAGAUGGACCCGCGCUGGAUUAGCUAGUUGGCAGGGCAGCGGCCUACCAAGGCGACGAUCCAUAGCCGGCCUGAGAGGGUGAACGGCCACAUUGGGACUGAGACAUGGCCCAGACUCCUACGGGAGGCAGCAGUGGGGAAUAUUGCACAAUGGGGGAAACCCUGAUGCAGCGACGCCGCGUGAAGGAAGAAGUAUCUCGGUAUGUAAACUUCUAUCAGCAGGGAAGAUAAUGACGGUACCUGACUAAGAAGCCCCGGCUAACUACGUGCCAGCAGCCGCAGUAA
This 494-nucleotide ribosomal RNA is filed under the name uncultured bacterium. RNAcentral describes it as "partial 16S ribosomal RNA". It matches the Rfam family "Bacterial small subunit ribosomal RNA", at positions 28 to 523 of the family's 1533-position model. The record is from RNAcentral.